GAUGAACGCUGGCGGCGUGCCUAAUACAUGCAAGUCGAGCGAACAGACGAGGAGCUUGCUCCUCUGACGUUAGCGGCGGACGGGUGAGUAACACGUGGAUAACCUACCUAUAAGACUGGGAUAACUUCGGGAAACCGGAGCUAAUACCGGAUAAUAUAUUGAACCGCAUGGUUCAAUAGUGAAAGACGGUUUUGCUGUCACUUAUAGAUGGAUCCGCGCCGCAUUAGCUAGUUGGUAAGGUAACGGCUUACCAAGGCAACGAUGCGUAGCCGACCUGGGAGGGUGGGGGGCAGAACGGGAACGGGACCGGGGACCAGCCGCCUAGGGGAGGGGCGAGAAGGAAUUCGUCGGAAGGGGGGGAAAACCGGGCGGAACAGCGCGGCGUGGGUGAUAAAGGUCUUGGGUGCGUAAACCUCUUUUAUGGGGGAAAAAAAAAUUUGAAAGAAAAUAUGCAGUUCUGGAGGGUACCUAAUAAAAAAGCACCGGCUAACUACGGG
RNAcentral lists this ribosomal RNA (497 nucleotides) under uncultured bacterium. RNAcentral describes it as "partial 16S ribosomal RNA". It matches the Rfam family "Bacterial small subunit ribosomal RNA", at positions 28 to 507 of the family's 1533-position model. The record is from RNAcentral.